GUGCUCACUUCGGCAGCACAUAUACUAAAAUUGGAAUGACACAGAGAUUAGCAUGGCCCCCAAACAAGGAUGACAUGCAAAUAUUUGAAGUGUCCAUGUUUUUA
RNAcentral lists this small nuclear RNA (104 nucleotides) under Neotoma lepida (desert woodrat). The record is from RNAcentral. Lineage: Eukaryota; Metazoa; Chordata; Mammalia; Rodentia; Cricetidae.